RNAcentral lists this ribosomal RNA (792 nucleotides) under Staphylococcus sp. MG91. Its description in RNAcentral is "bacterial SSU rRNA". It matches the Rfam family "Bacterial small subunit ribosomal RNA", at positions 57 to 831 of the family's 1533-position model. Lineage: Bacteria; Bacillati; Bacillota; Bacilli; Caryophanales; Staphylococcaceae. The record is from RNAcentral.
GCAAGUCGAGCGAACAGAUAAGGAGCUUGCUCCUUUGACGUUAGCGGCGGACGGGUGAGUAACACGUGGGUAACCUACCUAUAAGACUGGGAUAACUUCGGGAAACCGGAGCUAAUACCGGAUAACAUUUGGAACCGCAUGGUUCUAAAGUGAAAGAUGGUUUUGCUAUCACUUAUAGAUGGACCCGCGCCGUAUUAGCUAGUUGGUAAGGUGACGGCUUACCAAGGCGACGAUACGUAGCCGACCUGAGAGGGUGAUCGGCCACACUGGAACUGAGACACGGUCCAGACUCCUACGGGAGGCAGCAGUAGGGAAUCUUCCGCAAUGGGCGAAAGCCUGACGGAGCAACGCCGCGUGAGUGAUGAAGGGUUUCGGCUCGUAAAACUCUGUUAUUAGGGAAGAACAAAUGUGUAAGUAACUGUGCACGUCUUGACGGUACCUAAUCAGAAAGCCACGGCUAACUACGUGCCAGCAGCCGCGGUAAUACGUAGGUGGCAAGCGUUAUCCGGAAUUAUUGGGCGUAAAGCGCGCGUAGGCGGUUUCUUAAGUCUGAUGUGAAAGCCCACGGCUCAACCGUGGAGGGUCAUUGGAAACUGGGAAACUUGAGUGCAGAAGAGGAAAGUGGAAUUCCAUGUGUAGCGGUGAAAUGCGCAGAGAUAUGGAGGAACACCAGUGGCGAAGGCGACUUUCUGGUCUGUAACUGACGCUGAUGUGCGAAAGCGUGGGGAUCAAACAGGAUUAGAUACCCUGGUAGUCCACGCCGUAAACGAUGAGUGCUAAGUGUUAGGGGGU